This 458-nucleotide ribosomal RNA is filed under the name Agama etoshae. RNAcentral describes it as "partial 16S ribosomal RNA". It matches the Rfam family "Bacterial large subunit ribosomal RNA", at positions 1859 to 2597 of the family's 2925-position model. Lineage: Eukaryota; Metazoa; Chordata; Lepidosauria; Squamata; Agamidae. The record is from RNAcentral.
CUGCCCAGUGAAACUUUUUAUACGGCCGCGAUAUAACCGUGCGAAGGUAGCGAAAUCAUUUGUCUCCUAAAUAGAGACCUGUAUGAAUGGCCCCAUGAGAAAGAAACUGUCUCUUGAAGAUAGCCAACGAAACUGAUCUGCCUGUGCAAAAGCAGUCAUAACAAAACAAGACAAAAAGACCCUGUGAAACUUAAAAAUAAAUGUCAAUAGUAUUACAGUAUUUUUUGGUUGGGGCAACCAAAGAGAAACAAAACCUCUUUUAAAUAUUAGACUAACAAGUCUAAUUUAAUAAACGACCCAGUAAAACUGAUCAACGGACCAAGCUACUCCAGGGAUAACAGCGCCAAAUUCUUGAAGAGUCCACAUCAACAAGAAUUAUUACGACCUCGAUGUUGGAUCAGGAUACCCAAGCAGUGCAAAAGCCGCCAACGGUUCGUUUGUUCAACGAUUAACAUCCU